AGACUGCUGAAGAGUCCUAUACUAGGACAAAAUGAUCGUCCAGUGU
Molecule: non-coding RNA, 46 nt
Organism: Schistosoma haematobium
Lineage: Eukaryota; Metazoa; Platyhelminthes; Trematoda; Strigeidida; Schistosomatidae
Source: Rfam